Molecule: non-coding RNA, 673 nt
Organism: Paralichthys olivaceus (Japanese flounder)
Lineage: Eukaryota; Metazoa; Chordata; Actinopteri; Pleuronectiformes; Paralichthyidae
Source: RefSeq, a predicted model, not a curated record
CAAACGACCUGCCUCCAUUAAGCAGAGCUCCUCUGGAGUAUAACUCAGUGCUGCUCCAGACCCUGCCCAGCUUCCAGACAUCAGGCCCAGCCCUUGCCAUCCUUCUGUCCAGACGUGGGACUUGCAAAGCGGAUUCAGAGACUGUGACGGCAGGGCAACAAGCCAAGACCGGCUCCAUCUUCAUAUAACUCCCGCUGGAGGUGGGAGAGUGCGAGCUGGACUCUGCCCAUCCCUCUGCUGUGUGCGUUGGUCCAGGUGUACGUCUUCACGGGAGCUCAUCACCACUCUAAUGAGAAUGAUCACUGCUCAUCUGUCUUCAUCCACAUCCAACAGAGAGCACCUGCUACUAUCUGUGGAGUCGCGGGCUGGGCACACAGAGAGAGCCGGGGGACGCCGCAGAAACGUCGGCAAGCCUGGAGGAAAGGGCACGGAUCUGGGCUGAGGGCUGCUGGUGACAUCUUAUCACAGCCUGGUUCCUUCAGUCUGACUCACAGCCUUCAAGCCUGCCUGAGGAUAUAUGUAGAGGCAAGGCUGUGCUGCGGACACACACAGGCAGACACACAAACACACCAUCCUGGUACAGGGCAAGGCCCCUUCUUUGGUAAAGUCUCAAUGAGCUGUGUCACCAUGGCAACUGCCUCAUUAGAAAGUCACUGGUGGUGGCCAUUGCCCA